This 204-nucleotide long non-coding RNA is filed under the name Malus domestica (apple). Its description in RNAcentral is "long non-coding RNA (MDOM_LNC004204)". Lineage: Eukaryota; Viridiplantae; Streptophyta; Magnoliopsida; Rosales; Rosaceae. The record is from RNAcentral.
AAAGACUUCGAAGUGGUAUCGUAAAUACUGAAGGUCCUCCAAUAAGAAAGGAAGGUCUGCCGCAUCGAUAUCAGUGUAUGGGUCGACUUCAAAGCCAAGGACUCAAGCUCCUCGUAUGUGCUGGAACCUAGCUUUCAACCCUGGGUUUGAAGUUUUUUGAAUAAUUCGCUCGGCAUCCAGGCAAGUUAGGAUGAGAUCAAUUGU